This 433-nucleotide ribosomal RNA is filed under the name uncultured bacterium. RNAcentral's name for it is "partial 16S ribosomal RNA". It matches the Rfam family "Bacterial small subunit ribosomal RNA", at positions 29 to 507 of the family's 1533-position model. The record is from RNAcentral.
AACGAACGCUGGCGGCAUGCCUAACACAUGCAAGUCGAACGAGACCUUCGGGUCUAGUGGCGCACGGGUGCGUAACGCGUGGGAACCUGCCCUUAGGUUCGGAAUAACUCCCCGAAAGGGGUGCUAAUACCGGAUAAUGUCUUCGGACCAAAGAUUUAUCGCCUUUGGAUGGGCCCGCGUUGGAUUAGCUAGUUGGUAGGGUAAAAGCCUACCAAGGCGACGAUCCAUAGCUGGUCUGAGAGGAUGAUCAGCCACACUGGGACUGAGACACGGCCCAGACUCCUACGGGAGGCAGCAGUGGGUAAUAUUGGACGAUGGGCGAAAGCCUGAUCCAGCCAUGCCGCGUGAGUGAUGAAGGCCUUAGGGUUGUAAAGCUCUUUUACCCGGGAUGAUAAUGACAGUACCGGGAGAAUAAGCUCCGGCUAACUCCGUG